Molecule: unclassified non-coding RNA, 573 nt
Filed under: Hevea brasiliensis (rubber tree)
Lineage: Eukaryota; Viridiplantae; Streptophyta; Magnoliopsida; Malpighiales; Euphorbiaceae
Source: RNAcentral
UUAAACCAGAGUAAAACCAAAGAGUAAAGUGAAGUCAUAGUAUUGGCCAAACACAGCACAACAAAACAACAUCAUAGAUUUGGAAGACAGGUUGAGAGAGAACUGUUAGAACAACUAAGUCAACGCAUGCACUUGGAAGUUUAUGAUUAACUAGAUUUCACAAAAUGAGGGGAUAACAAUUUUCCAAUCUCUAAGAAUCCCACUUUCUCUCUCCCAUCAAAUAUAGACUUCAGCUUUUCAUCACAAUUGAUCUGCCUCUUAUCAGCUGGGCUCUGGAGGUUAUUCAGCUUGAUGUAGGCCCAUAUUUGCUUGACGGCUUCGGCACGCGAAGUCUCGGACAUGCCGAGGAAGCCAGCGAGAGUCGGGGAAACUUGGACGGCCUUAAGAAUCCCCGUCGGACGAGUCGGCUCUUUCUUUGGUCCGGCUACCGAUUUUUGGCCCGAAACGGCGGCUUUUAGCUUCCCCUUGCGAGCGACGGCAGGAGUAGAAGAGUAAGCUUGAGUGGCAGAUUUGAGAGAAUCUAAGAGGGUUCUGCAGCCUCUGAAGAACCUGGUGCCAUUGCUAAGACCUGAG